Molecule: long non-coding RNA, 1223 nt
Organism: Pantherophis guttatus
Lineage: Eukaryota; Metazoa; Chordata; Lepidosauria; Squamata; Colubridae
Source: RefSeq, a predicted model, not a curated record
GAACACCUGGAGGACAGAGAGGAGACGAGAAGCCAUUUGAGGCGGGAGAGCGCACGUGUCUGAAGGCGUGACUGGGCCGUGUCCCCUGUUUUCCUCAGACACGGUGCGGCUCCGUUUUCGAGUUAUGCACCACAGGACUCCGUCACUCUCCCACCCCACCUCGGUUACCUUAAUCCAGACACCCAGUGACAGGCCACCAAGUAAUGUUGACACAACCCGUCACUGAAGACUUAGAAUAACUUUAUUGUCACUUUGAAUGUCCACUAGUCGGCAUACAUUAAAAUGAAAUUUCGUUGCAUACAGCUUUCAAAGGGAACUUCUAAUAUACACUACAUAAACAUGACAAAUAAAUAAAUAAAUAAAUAAAUAAAUAAAUGCAAAACUAUGCAUAUAGUUGUACUGAAGCACAUUUGCCAUGGUUUUAAAAGUCAAGCAAAGGAGAAGAGGAGGAGGAGGUUAUCGUCUGGAAAUGUUAUCCUCAUUCUCAUACAUUAAAGUGUGAGAUAAAUACGAUUCCUGUUGUUCCAGUUGCAUUUUAGCCAUUGGAAUAGUUCCCAAGGUUCCACAAAUGGCACAACUGUCUAUGGACCAGACACCUAAUUCCAAAAGAAAGCUAUCUUGAGGUCUUUUUAACCCAGGUCUGUACAGCCAAGAACACCUGUUUGUCUACAAAUAUUGUACCUCAUCACAGUACAGAGAGAACAACAAGCCCCAUUGCAGAGGCUAUAUUAGCUGACGAUUCUGGAAGCUGCUGUACAAUUUAUCUCCAGGGCACCAAUUUGAGAAGGACUGGUCUAAAGAAUGACUUGUUGGCUAUUCGAGCAGUUCCUACACUAGGUUUCGUGAUGCACCCUACCCACUUGUAUGUGAGGAAGACUUUGAGAGAUGGAUGAAGAGAUACUGCCAUGGGAAUAGCCAGUUGCGCAUGCGUGCAUUAAUAGCCAAGGGUGACAUGAUGGAUUGAACCAGAACUGGAACCUGAAAAACCGGAGAAAAGUCGAUCUGUAUUGUAAAUCCUGACUCUUAGCGUUUUGUUUUGUUUUUCCUGGGAAGAGUUCUAAGAAGUUAAAGUGUAACUGAGGGCAUUCAGUAACUUUCAUUUGCAAGCUAAAGAAGAAGAAAAAACCAACGUCAGCUAUCUUCUUUUCUGUUUCAGACAUAUUUCAGCAGAUGUUUGUAGUGGGGUAGUUUGACCUAAAAGCUACAUAAACUAUAGGAGAUUA